This 279-nucleotide unclassified non-coding RNA is filed under the name plant metagenome. RNAcentral's name for it is "partial contains small subunit ribosomal RNA, internal transcribed spacer 1, and 5.8S ribosomal RNA". The record is from RNAcentral.
UUUCCGUAGGUGAACCUGCGGAAGGAUCAUUCUUGUAUAACCGAGGAGCGAGGUUUGUUGCUGACCUGUAAGGUUGUGCACGCCUGAGUGCCUUCACACCUAUCUAUCUCACCCCUAUCUCCACCCCCGCGCGGGUCCUCCUUUCGUUUUCUCGGAGGGGGGCUUACGUUUUCACUCAAACUUUGAACUUACUGUAGCAUGUCUUUUUUGUUUUUGCGAUCACGCAAACAAUACAACUUUCAACAACGGAUCUCUUGGCUCUCGUCUCGAUGAAGAACC